GACGAACGCUGACGGUGUGCUUUAGACAUGCAAGUCGAGCGAGAAAGCCCUUCGGGGUUAGUAAAGCGGCGAACGGGUGAGUAACACGUGGGCAAUCUGCCCCUCGCAGGGGGACAACCGGGGGAAACUCCGGCUAAUACCCCGUAAGUUUCCGGAGUCGCAUGGCUUUGGAAAGAAAGGUAGCUUCGGCCAUCCGGCGAGGGAUGAGCCCGCGGUACAUUAGCUAGUUGGUGGGGUAACGGCCUACCAAGGCGGCAAUGAUAGCUGGUCUGAGAGGAUGAUCAGCCACACUGGGGACUGAGACACGGCCCAGACUCCUACGGGAGGCAGCAGUCGGGAAUCUUGCACAAUGGGCGAAAGCCUGAUGCAGCAACACCGUGUGAGCGAUGAAGGCCCUAGGGUCGUAAAGCUCUGUUGUUGGGGACGAAGGGCGAAGGGUUAAUACGCCCCCAGCUUGACGGUACCCUUCGAGGAAGCUCCGGCUAACUACGUGCCAGCCGCCGCCGU
RNAcentral lists this ribosomal RNA (507 nucleotides) under uncultured bacterium. RNAcentral describes it as "bacterial SSU rRNA". It matches the Rfam family "Bacterial small subunit ribosomal RNA", at positions 28 to 521 of the family's 1533-position model. The record is from RNAcentral.